RNAcentral lists this ribosomal RNA (253 nucleotides) under uncultured bacterium. Its description in RNAcentral is "partial 16S ribosomal RNA". It matches the Rfam family "Bacterial small subunit ribosomal RNA", at positions 524 to 776 of the family's 1533-position model. The record is from RNAcentral.
UACAGAGGAGCCAAGCGUUGUCCGGAUUGACUGGGCGUAAAGCGCACGCAGGCGGUUUGGCGCGUGGGGUGUGAAAUCUGGCCGCUUAACGGCCAGGCGCCAUCCCAUACGGCUAGACUGGAGUGAUGCAGAGGUCGGUGGAAUUGCCGGUGUAGUGGUGAAAUGCGCAGAUAUCGGGAGGAACACCAAUGGCGAAGGCAGCUCGCUGGGACGGUACUGACGCUGAGACGCGAAAGCGUGGGGAGCAAACAGG